This 390-nucleotide unclassified non-coding RNA is filed under the name soil metagenome. RNAcentral describes it as "partial contains 5.8S ribosomal RNA, internal transcribed spacer 2, and large subunit ribosomal RNA". The stretch from base 1 to 122 matches the Rfam family "5.8S ribosomal RNA", at positions 35 to 154 of the family's 154-position model. The record is from RNAcentral.
GAUGAAGAACGCAGCGAAAUGCGAUACUUGGUGUGAAUUGCAGAAUCCCGCGAAUCAUCGAGUUUUUGAACGCAAGUUGCGCCCGAAGCCAUUCGGCCGAGGGCACGUCUGCCUGGGUGUCACGCAUCGUUGCCCCCCCAAACUCCGGUUCGGGCGGGGCGGAAGUUGGCCUCCCGUGCGUGCCUGCGCGCGCGGUUAGCCCAAAAGCGAGUCCUCGGCGAUGAGCGCCACGACAAUCGGUGGUUUUUUUACCCUCGUUCCUCGUCGUGCGUGUCCCGUCGCCCGAACGCGCUCUUGCAACCCUUACGCGUCGCCUCGGUGGCGCUCCCAACGCGACCCCAGGUCAGGCGGGACUACCCGCUGAGUUUAAGCAUAUCAAUAAGCGGAGGA